Molecule: long non-coding RNA, 2596 nt
Organism: Callithrix jacchus (white-tufted-ear marmoset)
Lineage: Eukaryota; Metazoa; Chordata; Mammalia; Primates; Cebidae
Source: Ensembl
GGGUCGUGCUGCACUGACAAGCAUUGAAGGUACUGUUCUUAACACUUGUAACCAUUGUAACUGCAUCCUGCUUGGCAUACCUCCCCUCUGCUAUUGUAAGAAAAAUGUUCCCCUUUGAUCAUUGUGUAGAAGAAGCCUGAACACCACCCUUCUUGGUGACACCUGUGCCCACAGCCCCUUCCUCUAACCUGCUUUUCUGCUUCUAUAAAAUUCUGCUUCAACUAGGGUCCUACUCCCCUACCUAAAUCAAGGUGUAAAAGAUAAGCCCCUUCCUCAGGGCUGAGAGAAUUCUGAGCAUUAGCCAUCUCUCGGUCACUGGCAAAUCAAUAAAGGACUCUUAAUUUGGAACUCAGAACAAGGCUCCUUCCUUCUAACUCACUUGGUUACAACAUUUGGAGGCCCUGGUGAGAUAUUCACCACCGGGUGCAGAUUGGGCUUGUUCCGGACUCCCCUGGGGGAGGAGGCGGACUAUAGGGGAGGUGCCCUCUGAGAAGUUCCAGGGCUCCAUAGGCCACCCCUUGCCGGAGGAGAGCAGAUCAACUCCCAGCACUCUCCACCAAAUUAUUCUUCAGAGUCCUCGGUCAUGCUCCACGGAGAAGAAAACCUAUCCUCUGGACAUUAUGGAAUUCUCCUGCUUCUGAACACAAACUCACACCUCCACAUAGGCAUGGAAGAGCAAGACCCUCUCGUGAUCCUCAGUUAAGGUGGUGGGAACUGACUCAUGGAUUCAUCACACUCAGCAGAAGCCUUGGACCCCUCCUGAAGAAAGCCAUAGACCCUUCUCUCCACAGCCUGAAGUUCCAGGAGACGACCCUUCAUACACCUGCGAGCCGUGAAAGGAUCUACAUCUGCUCUUCAGAAAAGAUCACCAGGAAAGUAACUACUCAUGAGAUGAAUUUACAUCCUGGCAUUAAAAGAACUAUCACUUUUAACUUUGCUGUCUCUCAAACUCCAAUUAUUCCUUUCAUUGGGGUGGGGGGGAGUCAAAAAUUAGGAAAACUUGGUGCUGGCAUUAGAAAAGUGACUCUAUUCAGUUAUUAUAAGCUAUCUUAGGAUUUAAUUAGUAACUUAAAGAGCCUGCUUAUUCUCUCAGCAAAGGCUGCUCACUCUGCAAAACAGCUUAACUCUUUAGCUGCCAUAUCUCUUCAAAGUAGAAGGGCCCUAAAUCUGCUAAUGACAGAGAGAGAGAGGGAACCUGUCUCUUUCUAGGAAGAAAUGCUGCUACUUUGUAAACCAAUUAAGUCUUGUUUUACAGAAGUUAAAGAACUGAGGAAUCAGAACACAGGGCUAAAGACCUUCAAGUAGUAGUACUGUGGAGCUUAACAACUAGCCGUCCCGACUAUAUACUCUUCUAGGCCUGUUUAUAACCAUUCCAUAUUUGUUGGCCUCUGGGCUUUUCAUCUUUAACCUCCUUGUCACAUUCUCUUCUUCUAGAAUCAUAAGGCCACAAAAAAUCCUGUAAUGGGAACCCCAGAUGUUCUUGGCUCAUAAGCUCUAUCAUAGACCUCGGGAUACCCUGAAAGACUCCCCUCUGAGGGAAACCUCAACUGCAGGGCCCCUUCUACACCCCAUUUCAGCGGGAAGUAGCUAAAGAGCUAACACCCAUGUCCCAACAGCAGUUGGACUUUCCUGUUCAGAAGGGUGACUGAGGGAAUGUAUUCUCUUCCCGGAUCCACAAGGGGGCAUAGUUUCAAAGAUAACAACUUCCCAGUGACAUGCCCAACCUGCCGCCCUCCACGUCUGCAUCCGAGAGCUUAGAAGUCUAACUUAUGCAUGCACAGGAAGAUAGAAAGAUCAAUCACUCUAGCGGAAGUUUAAAAGAACUCCUUUCAUAGGACAGAAAAUGAAUAGGGUGGGAAUAACACGUAGGUUAAAAGUCCCCUUCUCCCACAUCUGGGCAGACUCCAUUUCUGGAUCCCCUUCCAUGACAACAUGGGAGCUGCUCUCUAUUUCUUUCUCCUUUUUCUCUCUCUGCCUAAGUAAAUCACUUUCUGCAAAACUUUUUGGGGUCCGAUAUUUACUUAUAAGCCCACCAUGCCUGGAGGGGUCCUCUCGCCCAUUCUUGGGUGAGUGAGGGACCAAGAACCUGGAAGAACACACCCUUUUGGGGAGCUGAGCCUCCCCAGUGACCCGGAACUCAGUCUCAUCUUCUCAUAAGUGGGUGUUGAACAAAGAGAACACAUGGACACAGGGAAGUGAACAUCACACACCAGGGCCUGUCAGGGGGAGUGGGGCUAGGAAAGGGGUAGCAGAGACUGGGAGGAUGGGGGAGGGAUAGCAUUAGGAGAAAGACCUAACGUAGAUGACCAGCUGAUGGAUGCAGCAAACCACCAUGGCACAUGUACACCUAUGUAACAAACCAGCACAUUCUGCAUAUAUACCCAGAACUUAAAGCAUAACAAUUUUUAAAAAAAGAAUUAUGUCUUCAAAAAAAUAUUAAAGCUGGGUGUUUUUCCUUUUAACUGGGAGUCAAAGGUUGUAUAAUGAUAGCCAAGAAGAGUCAAACCUCAUUUGUACACUUUCCAGCUGAUACUUCCUUAAAAAUAAAAUGAACCAGACAUCCUCAGUGGACACCCUUAGUUUAGUUUACAAGGAC